UCAGCUCCUCCGAACGUGGUUAACGUCCUCCCGUUCCCGUUUCUCCUAGCAGGAACCGCGCCCGCCAUUCCCCGCCGCGCGCCGCCGCUCGCCAUCCCCCGCCGCCGCCGCUCGCCAUCCCUCCCCGCCGCCGCCGCUCCCAGACCCUAAGCACGCCGCGAUCCACCGUCGUCGUGUCCUCUGAUCCUCGCGUCACCGCCAGUCGCCAUCCCUCGCCGCCGCCGCCGCUCGGCAUCCCCCGCAUCCGCCGCUCGCUCCAUCGACGAUCUGCGCCGUCCCGACCUCUGCUCGUGUAGAGCAUGCCUAUCCCCCGGCCGAUUCGCAGCGUGGCUGGAGAAGGGAGCUCGAGGCCUCGAGCGCUGCCGCCCAUUCAUCUCCCGAGCCCAAGUGCCGCCGGCCGAUUUGAGCCUGUCCUUCGCCGAUUCGAGCCAGUCCGCGCCGAUUCGUCGUCCUCCACAGGCCCUCCGUCCCAAGGUCGUCAGGCUGGAGGUCCCGCAGGUCCACUGCGGAGCUCGCUCACGCAGGCCCACGGCUGGAUCUCGCACGGAUCCGGCAAGGACUGGUCCGGCAGCUCCCUGCUACGACGUUCUUAUCGGGUGGCUUUUCAUUGGAGGCAGUGGUGAGAUUGAAGCCUUAGGGGCUAGGUAAGAGGCCGAGAGCAACGAGCUCCAAGGGUGUACAAAGGCGCGGCCAAGAUGACAAAUGCGGAAGAGAGACCUGGACCGGAGAGAUACUGCAGACUUCGGGCCCGCCGUCCCAGACCCUACUUCUUCAUCCCAGUGCUGAUUCCAUUUUGUGCUUACAUUGAUGCUUCAAGCAGUCGAUUUGCUUGUUUCUGCUGCGCAGCAACUGCUACAUGGCGCAGCCGAUGGCUUGCUCGGUGGGCAAGCUGCCUGACAGCCUUGCUGGCAGGGAUCCUUAAUGAUGCGGGCAACACAGAUCUAGCGACAGCCAGCGCAUGAUUGAUGCUAGUGACGCAUCAUCUUGUGCAAGACCAAGAACAGCAACAUCGAAUCCGUACUGGACAAAGCACGAGAGAUAUGUUCUGCAAACUCCUUCAAGAACCACUCCAAGCUAGGUCCUCUCCUCCGCAUGGGGUUUUCACCUGGUUCACCGCACGUCGCACAAAAUUGACGUUGGGGAGACGAACAGACGUUUAUGCAGAUCAUGAGUACAUCAGCAUAGGUGUCUUUGCCAGUACAUUUGUUAUUUGCAAUGAGGAACCUAAUUUAGUGACAUGACAUUGAACUUUCACCAUCUCAUAUCCAUCAGGUGUGGCUACGGGUGCAGUGGAACAUGGAGCAGUAAGCGAUGAUGUGGCCACAGGACAUACUCCAAUAUUGCAUCAGAGUAUGCUUGACUUCUGUUUGCACUAUGGAAGACAUAACAACAAGCUCUCAGAUGAUGAAGUUGUAUGCCAAUCAUUGGCUAGAUUGUAGAUUCAGGAUCUGUAUAUUGGUUCUUGCAUGCUCAGUUCUACAGAGAUUUUUUUGUGUGGAAUUCUGACCUCGCAACAAUGAGAACUCUGUGAUCCAUGGUCCAAUGUUUAUCAUUUCUCAGGAAAGUCUAUCUAGUAUUCUAGUGCAGCAAUUGCAUGUACAAGACCUACUGGCUCUUUUCACUCCUUGUAAUGAUCACUAGGUGCUAUAAUUGUUGUACAAUUGUAUUACUUGUGUCUGGGAGCGUGAUGCUGAAUCCAGGUUCCUAUAUGCAAA
This is a long non-coding RNA of Setaria italica (foxtail millet), 1715 nucleotides long. RefSeq lists it as uncharacterized. The transcript has 7 exons. Lineage: Eukaryota; Viridiplantae; Streptophyta; Magnoliopsida; Poales; Poaceae. The record is from RefSeq and is a predicted model, not a curated record.